This is a long non-coding RNA of Sceloporus undulatus (fence lizard), 977 nucleotides long. RefSeq lists it as uncharacterized. The record is from RefSeq and is a predicted model, not a curated record. The transcript is spliced from 3 exons. NCBI's taxonomy places the organism in Eukaryota, Metazoa, Chordata, Lepidosauria, Squamata, Phrynosomatidae.
UGGGGGAGGAAGGAGAGCGGAAGAUUGGUCCGGGAAGAAGGCGUCGGGAGAGGGAGAGAGAAGGAGCAGCCAGAGUGCGGAGAAGGCCACAGAGCCCAGAGAGACCCCUCACUGGGAGGCAGGGUUCGAGUUGGUCCGGUGUUAUCUACUCAUCCAGCUUGUCCUAGACAGGAGAUUGGAGGAGGGGCCCAGCCGUGGAACCCGGAAUUGCAAUUGUGCUUUGCUGGUCCCCCCACCAACAACAACAACAACUUUGACCAUCAUGAUUUCGAGUGAACUACCUGCCUGAACAUUCCCUCUCUCAAACACAAAGACAUCAAGCUGGAAAUCGCCCUGGAAGCCAAGAUGACUAAAUUGAAGCUGUCAUACUUUGGACAUAUUGUGAGAAGCCACAACUCAUUGAAAAAAAUAAUAAUGCUAGGAAAGGUGGAGGGAAGUAGAAAGAAAAGAAGGCUGCAUAUUGGAUGGGCUCUAUAAAGGAUGAAUUUACAGGAACUAAGCAGAGCAGUGGAGGACAGAGGGUCUUAGAGGUGUCUCAUCCACAGGGUCACCAUGAGUCGAGAUCAACUCAAGGGCAGUUAACAACAAAUUAUUUUUAACAUCUUUGACUGAUGAAAAAGCCAGUGAAGCUUCGAAAACCUACAAGGUGUAUUUUGUGCUUUUUGGGUUGGUCCAGUAAAGAUAUCAUUGUUUUGUGGUUUUGGGAUUUUGGUGUAUUGUUCUGUACUGUUACUGCAGAAAAAUUACUAGUUACCAAAGUAACUUGUUGCAAAUCACAUUACUUCCAAGUUCUGAUAAAACAAGGAAUGAUAAUAUGGCUCCUUUGCUCUACAAUAAGGACAGAUAAAGAAUUGUUCUAUCAACAGUUUCCUUCCGCUUCCCCGCUCUGAACAUAACAUUUAAAGACAUUAUUCAGAUCUGAAGCUUCAGAAAGAUAUUGUAUAUAAAUAAACUGCAAGGUUUGCAUUAAGGUCAAU